This 468-nucleotide ribosomal RNA is filed under the name uncultured bacterium. RNAcentral's name for it is "partial 16S ribosomal RNA". It matches the Rfam family "Bacterial small subunit ribosomal RNA", at positions 28 to 507 of the family's 1533-position model. The record is from RNAcentral.
GACGAACGCUGGCGGCGUGCUUAACACAUGCAAGUCGAACGGAAAGGCCCUGCUUUUGUGGGGUGCUCGAGUGGCGAACGGGUGAGUAACACGUGAGUAACCUGCCCUUGACUUUGGGAUAACUUCAGGAAACUGGGGCUAAUACCGGAUAGGAGCUCCUGCUGCAUGGUGGGGGUUGGAAAGUUUCGGCGGUUGGGGAUGGACUCGCGGCUUAUCAGCUUGUUGGUGGGGUAGUGGCUUACCAAGGCUUUGACGGGUAGCCGGCCUGAGAGGGUGACCGGCCAAAUUGGGACUGAGAUACGGCCCAGACUCCUACGGGGGGCAGCAGUGGGGAAUAUUGCACAAUGGGUGGAAGCCUGAUGCAGCAACGCCGCGUGCGGGAUGACGGCCUUCGGGUUGUAAACCGCUUUCGCCUGUGACGAAGCGUGAGUGACGGUAAUGGGUAAAGAAGCACCGGCUAACUACGUG